AUGUACAUUCCAGCGUGCAUCAAUAAACACUAUGUUACGCUGAAGAUCAUUUUUGCUGACUCGACUAUAUAUGUGUACGACCCAGAUCAUUCAUGUUUGACACAAGGCCAGUUGGAGCAAAACCUGGAGUCCGUGGCUGUAAUUGUUCCUAUGAUGGCUAGACGAGCGGGGAUAAAUGUACAGGACAGAUUGCGGAUCAUUCG
Molecule: long non-coding RNA, 203 nt
Filed under: Olea europaea (common olive)
Lineage: Eukaryota; Viridiplantae; Streptophyta; Magnoliopsida; Lamiales; Oleaceae
Description: long non-coding RNA (OEUR_LNC004170)
Source: RNAcentral